RNAcentral lists this ribosomal RNA (497 nucleotides) under uncultured bacterium. Its description in RNAcentral is "partial 16S ribosomal RNA". It matches the Rfam family "Bacterial small subunit ribosomal RNA", at positions 28 to 507 of the family's 1533-position model. The record is from RNAcentral.
GACGAACGCUGGCGGCGUGCCUAAUACAUGCAAGUUGAGCGCUGAAGGUUGGUACUUGUACCGGCUGGAUGAGCAGCGAACGGGUGAGUAACGCGUGGGGAAUCUGCCUUUGAGCGGGGGACAACAUUUGGAAACGAAUGCUAAUACCGCAUAAAAACUUUAAACACAAGUUUUAAGUUUGAAAGAUGCAAUUGCAUCACUCAAAGAUGAUCCCGCGUUGUAUUAGCUAGUUGGUGAGGUAAAGGCUCACCAAGGCGAUGAUACAUAGCCGACCUGAGAGGGUGAUCGGCCACAUUGAGACUGAGACACGGCCCAAACUCCUACGGGAGGCAGCAGUAGGGAAUCUUCGGCAAUGGACGAAAGUCUGACCGAGCAACGCCGCGUGAGUGAAGAAGGUUUUCGGAUCGUAAAACUCUGUUGGUAGAGAAGAACGUUGGUGAGAGUGGAAAGCUCAUCAAGUGACGGUAACUACCCAGAAAGGGACGGCUAACUACGUG